RNAcentral lists this long non-coding RNA (220 nucleotides) under Elaeis guineensis (African oil palm). RNAcentral's name for it is "long non-coding RNA (EGUI_LNC007950)". The record is from RNAcentral. Lineage: Eukaryota; Viridiplantae; Streptophyta; Magnoliopsida; Arecales; Arecaceae.
CAGCCUUGGGUGGUAAGCGUUGUGUAUGCUCACACUUGUGCUUUCCAGAGGCAUAUUUUCUAAGAUGUGGUCUCUAAUACUACUUCUUUGUCCUUGCCGAUGCUCUUGUUAGGAGAUUUUAAUGUGAUUGCCGAUACUUCUGAGAAGAAAGAGAGUAAACCAUAUCAUCUAAAUAGAGGUAUUAAAGAAUUUUAAAAUUGCAUUUCAGAUAAUGGUUUGG